GGGUCGUUAGCUCAGUCGGUAGAGCAGCGGACUUUCGAAGGUUCGAAUCCUUCACGACCCACCA
Molecule: transfer RNA, 64 nt
Filed under: Pasteurella multocida
Lineage: Bacteria; Pseudomonadati; Pseudomonadota; Gammaproteobacteria; Pasteurellales; Pasteurellaceae
Description: tRNA-Ser
Rfam family: tRNA
About the family: Transfer RNA (tRNA) molecules are approximately 80 nucleotides in length. Their secondary structure includes four short double-helical elements and three loops (D, anti-codon, and T loops).
Source: RNAcentral